Molecule: ribosomal RNA, 472 nt
Filed under: uncultured bacterium
Lineage: Bacteria
Description: bacterial SSU rRNA
Rfam family: Bacterial small subunit ribosomal RNA
Source: RNAcentral
GACGAACGCUGGCGGCGUGCCUAACACAUGCAAGUCAACUUGACUGAAGGAGCAAUCUGACAGUAGAGUGGCGCAAGGGUGCGUAACGCGUAAGUAACUUGCCCAAGGUAAGGAAUAACGUCGAGAAAUCGGCGCUAAUACCUCAUAAUGCAGCGGAUCCGCAUGGAUAUGUUGUUAAAGGUUUACCGCCUUGGGAUAGGCUUGCGUCUGAUUAGCUAGUUGGUGUGGUAACGGCACACCAAGGCUACGAUCAGUAACUGGUCUGAGAGGAUGAUCAGUCACACUGGAACUGAGACACGGUCCAGACUCCUACGAGAGGCAGCAGUGAGGAAUAUUGGGCAAUGCUCGAAAGAGUGACCCAGCAACGCCGCGUGGAGGAUGAAGGUAUUCUAUAUCGUAAACUCCUGUGAGAGCAGACGAAAGACAGAUUAUUAAUCUGGAUGACUGUAUGCUCAGAGGAAGCCCCGGCUAA